Molecule: ribosomal RNA, 164 nt
Filed under: uncultured bacterium
Lineage: Bacteria
Description: partial 16S rRNA
Rfam family: Bacterial small subunit ribosomal RNA
Source: RNAcentral
UAGGGAGUCUUCCACAAUGGGCGAAAGCCUGAUGGAGCAACGCCGCGUGUGUGAUGAAGGGUUUCGGCUCGUAAAACACUGUUGUAAGAGAAGAAUGACAUUGAGAGUAACUGUUCAAUGUGUGACGGUAUCUUACCAGAAAGGAACGGCUAAAUACGUGCCAA